CAAACGACUCUCGGCAACGGAUAUCUCGGCUCACGCAUCGAUGAAGAACGUAGCAAAAUGCGAUACUUGGUGUGAAUUGCAGAAUCCCGUGAACCAUCGAGUUUUUGAACGCAAGUUGCGCCCAAAGCCAUCCGGCCGAGGGCACGCCUGCCUGGGCGUCACG
Molecule: ribosomal RNA, 163 nt
Filed under: Leucheria bridgesii
Lineage: Eukaryota; Viridiplantae; Streptophyta; Magnoliopsida; Asterales; Asteraceae
Description: 5.8S ribosomal RNA
Rfam family: 5.8S ribosomal RNA
About the family: 5.8S ribosomal RNA (5.8S rRNA) is a component of the large subunit of the eukaryotic ribosome. It is transcribed by RNA polymerase I as part of the 45S precursor that also contains 18S and 28S rRNA. Functionally, it is thought that 5.8S rRNA may be involved in ribosome translocation.
Source: RNAcentral